ACGUAGGGUGCGAGCGUUAAUCGGAAUUACUGGGCGUAAAGCGUGCGCAGGCGGUUGUGUAAGACAGGUGUGAAAUCCCCGGGCUUAACCUGGGAACUGCGCUUGUGACUGCACGGCUAGAGUACGGCAGAGGGGGGUGGAAUUCCACGUGUAGCAGUGAAAUGCGUAGAGAUCCGGAGGAACACCAGAGGCGAAGGCGGCCUACUGGGCUGCACCUGACGCUGAGCCACGAAAGCCAGGGGAGCAAACGGGA
RNAcentral lists this ribosomal RNA (253 nucleotides) under uncultured prokaryote. RNAcentral describes it as "partial 16S ribosomal RNA". It matches the Rfam family "Bacterial small subunit ribosomal RNA", at positions 525 to 777 of the family's 1533-position model. The record is from RNAcentral.